GACGAACGCUGGCGGCGUGCCUAAUACAUGCAAGUUGAGCGCUGAUGGUUGGUACUUGUACCAACUGGAUGAGCAGCGAACGGGUGAGUAACGCGUGGGGAAUCUGCCUUUGAGCGGGGGACAACAUUUGGAAACGAAUGCUAAUACCGCAUAAAAACUUUAAACACAAGUUUUAAGUUUGAAAGAUGCAAUUGCAUCACUCAAAGAUGAUCCCGCGUUGUAUUAGCUAGUUGGUGAGGUAAAGGCUCACCAAGGCGAUGAUACAUAGCCGACCUGAGAGGGUGAUCGGCCACAUUGGGACUGAGACACGGCCCAAACGCCUACGGGAGGCAGCAGUAGGGAAUCUUCGGCAAUGGACGAAAGUCUGACCGAGCAACGCCGCGUGAGUGAAGAAGGUUUUCGGAUCGUAAAAAUCUGUUGGUAGAGAAGAACGUUGGUGAGAGUGGAAAGCUCAUCAAGUGACGGUAACUACCCAGAAAGGGACGGCUAACUACGUG
Molecule: ribosomal RNA, 497 nt
Filed under: uncultured bacterium
Lineage: Bacteria
Description: partial 16S ribosomal RNA
Rfam family: Bacterial small subunit ribosomal RNA
Source: RNAcentral